RNAcentral lists this ribosomal RNA (425 nucleotides) under uncultured bacterium. RNAcentral's name for it is "bacterial SSU rRNA". It matches the Rfam family "Bacterial small subunit ribosomal RNA", at positions 28 to 449 of the family's 1533-position model. The record is from RNAcentral.
GACGAACGCUGGCGGCGUGCCUAACACAUGCAAGUCGUACGGGACGGGGGGCAACUCCCGUUCAGUGGCAGACGGGUGCGUAACGCGUGAGGAACUUGUCCAUCGGCGGGGGAUAGCCGGCCCAACGGCCGGGUAAUACCGCGUACGAUCGUUCGGGGGCAUCCCUGGGCGAUGAAAGCAGCCGCAAGGUUGCGCCGGUGGAGAGUCUCGCGGCCUAUCAGCUCGUUGGCGGGGUAACGGCCCACCAAGGCGACGACGGGUAGCUGGUCUGAGAGGAUGAUCAGCCACAUUGGGACUGAGACACGGCCCAGACUCCUACGGGAGGCAGCAGUGGGGAAUAUUGCGCAAUGGCCGCAAGGCUGACGCAGCGACGCCGCGUGUGGGAUGACGGCCUUCGGGUUGUAAACCACUGUCGGGGGGACGAA